GAUGAAGAACGUAGCGAAAUGCGAUAAGUAAUGUGAAUUGCAGAAUUCAGUGAAUCAUCGAAUCUUUGAACGCACAUUGCGCCCCUUGGUAUUCCGAGGGGCAUGCCUGUUCGAGCGUCAUUAUAACCCUCAAGCUCAGCUUGGUGUUGGGGCCUGCUGCAGUGGCAGCCCUUAAAAUCAGUGGCGGCGCCAUCUGGCUCUAAGCGUAGUAAUUCUUCUCGCUAUGGAGUCCUGGUGGAUGCUUGCCAUCAACCCCCAAUUUUUCUAUGGUGGACCUCGGAUCAGGUAGGGAUACCCGCUGAACUUAAGCAUAUCAAUAAGCGGAGGA
RNAcentral lists this unclassified non-coding RNA (328 nucleotides) under soil metagenome. RNAcentral's name for it is "partial contains 5.8S ribosomal RNA, internal transcribed spacer 2, and large subunit ribosomal RNA". The stretch from base 1 to 120 matches the Rfam family "5.8S ribosomal RNA", at positions 35 to 154 of the family's 154-position model. The record is from RNAcentral.